GUGCCAGCCGCCGCGGUAAUACGUAGGGUGCGAGCGUUGUCCGGAAUUAUUGGGCGUAAAGAGCUCGUAGGCGGUUUGUUGCGUCGGCUGUGAAAACCUGCAGCUUAACUGUGGGCUUGCAGUCGAUACGGGCAGACUUGAGUUCGGUAGGGGAGACUGGAAUUCCUGGUGUAGCGGUGAAAUGCGCAGAUAUCAGGAGGAACACCGGUGGCGAAGGCGGGUCUCUGGGCCGAUACUGACGCUGAGGAGCGAAAGCGUGGGGAGCGAACAGGAUUAGAAACCCUAGUAGUCC
Molecule: ribosomal RNA, 292 nt
Filed under: uncultured bacterium
Lineage: Bacteria
Description: partial 16S ribosomal RNA
Rfam family: Bacterial small subunit ribosomal RNA
Source: RNAcentral